UUGUUUAUUUCCAGUGCAUCUUUAUUGUAACUUUAGUAUAAUACCAAGUCAAUUUUAACACCUAGUACCACGUGUGGCGAGUCAAGGCCUUUCGAUUUUCUGCUGUAUUUUUGCGAAAUCUUCAAAACAUUAAAAAUUGUGAAAUGCCCAGUUAAUGAGUUGCUGCUUUCGAAGAAGUGGGUGUAUACGAGUUGGGCGUAUAUGAAAUAUCUAGAUGAGUUGCGCCGCGGCCCAAAACACUUCCAGCAAAGCUUUGAGCUUUUGAAGACAGGUGGCGAUGGUAGUUAAUACAAUAUUUAAAUAAAACAAAAAUAAACGUUCAAAACAUUAUUAUUAUCCUAUUACAGUUACUAUAAAAUACUUCCAGUUUUAAAUUAUUCUAGAAAAUGUUAAUUUACAAUGUUGUCAAGCCACCAUUUUGUGGGAGUGUGAUGUGCAGAGGGGCCCAAAAUUGGACGAUCUUUACGCGUUUCUGCUAUCCUGAUAAGAAAUUUUGUAGAGAGAAGUUAACAUUUACGUAAUUAAUUAUUUAAUCAAGAAAUGUACUCAAUAAUUGCAACAUACUGAACAUACUCCGUGACCCGUGAUGGUACUUGACAUUGACACAUGACAAUUGAGAUUUUUUCACUUUUUUGCAAUAAAUUGGUAAAUAACUUUUAAAAUCACGUUUUGAAGCAAAUUUUAUUUAACUUUUAAUUAAAAUGGCAAAACUUGGAGGUGUAACCACAAUUUUAAAAGGAAUUUAUCAAGAUGAAUUUAAAUGGGCACUUGUCAAAUCUAUAGGAUUAUUCGCAUUAGGAAUUAGAAUUGCCCAAGAAUGUGCAGGGAUGGAACUACUGCCAACUCAGUCUUAGUGCAGAAUAGAUUAGAUUAUAGUUUUUGUUAGAGAUAAAAUAUAUAUGUAAAAUAAAUAAAAAAAACUUAAA
Diabrotica virgifera virgifera (western corn rootworm) is the source of this 926-nucleotide long non-coding RNA. RefSeq lists it as uncharacterized. The record is from RefSeq and is a predicted model, not a curated record. The transcript has 2 exons. Lineage: Eukaryota; Metazoa; Arthropoda; Insecta; Coleoptera; Chrysomelidae.